Rhododendron vialii is the source of this 587-nucleotide long non-coding RNA. RefSeq lists it as uncharacterized. Lineage: Eukaryota; Viridiplantae; Streptophyta; Magnoliopsida; Ericales; Ericaceae. The record is from RefSeq and is a predicted model, not a curated record. The transcript is spliced from 2 exons.
UGAUGAAGAACCUUAGUAAGUAAAGGGGUAUAAGGUGUGAUUUGGCCUAUAAAUAUGCAAAAAAAUCAGGCGAGGGAUCACUUUCUGUUUUUUUCUUUUUUCCCUGCUCCUAUUCUCUCUCUCGUCUCUCGUGUUCUCUCUCUCUCGACUGCUCUCUCUCUCAUCUUCCCCACCCAAAGGCUUGCUACCUCUCCAAAAUUUCUUGAAGACCCACACGUACUUUGUCAUUCUCUACCAUCCUUCGCUCUCGGAUCGCAUAGGAAGAGCUUGGUGGAGGCGUAUUUCGCAAUUGGAGGCUAGGGCUUAGAGUUUGAGCUUGAAUCUUGGCUUUGAUCUUGAGGUGCGACCUCAGGAUUGUAGCUUGCAUUUGUGGAGUGCUUGAAUAUGGAAAAACCUUUUUGAAAGCUAAUAUUGUAGGAUUACUUAGUCACCUUGUAAUUACUUUUGAAAGAUAUAUAUGUAAUUUAGUCCAUAAUUAUUUUGACUUGGGAACAACUGUAAAUACUUAACUUAUUUGUGCCGAGGACUUAUGUGAUUGAGGCCGGUGGGCCACCGUUAUUGUCUUUUGAAAAUUAUUGUUUUGGAAC